Molecule: long non-coding RNA, 3916 nt
Organism: Lagopus muta (rock ptarmigan)
Lineage: Eukaryota; Metazoa; Chordata; Aves; Galliformes; Phasianidae
Exons: 5
Source: RefSeq, a predicted model, not a curated record
CUCUUCCGCUCACGUGAGUCCUGCGUGUGGCCCGUUAGCUGCAGUCGGUGGGUCGCGUCCGUCUUCCCAGGAGCUUCCUGCCGCACAGCUGGAGCCCAGCUGUGAGGUGCUCUUUGCUGUCUCUCCUUUGAAGCCUGGCUUGGGAAAUCGAGGGAGGGAGGGAGCCUGUGCUCUUUUCCGUGCUGAGGUGGGAGGAGAGGAAGCUCCUGAGGAGGACAGAGGGGAGCUGCCUUAGCCAUUCCGGCAUGUUUUCCCGAAAGCACGCUUCUCCCGUUGGAGCCGACGGAGGUGACUCACCAGAGCAGAUCACACCAACAUCUUCAGCAACUCCUGCUGACAGCGCCUGAGAAUGGGAGGUCUUACAGAGCACUAGCCGAGUCUCAUUUCCAUCACACUGGACACUUCUUAAGCCCACAGGACCGAUGCCUCGUUCAGACCUUGGAAGUCGUCAUCUAGGACUCUGCCCCAUAUGCCAUCAAGGGAGAUUUCAACACGCCCAUCACAGCGGCUCUGACCAUCUGAGAGUCUGAGUGAUUCAGCAAGACCUGGGCUCAAAAGUUCAGCCCUCUGUGUUCAGAUGCUUCAGACUGUACCCUGGUGGAUGCACUCAUAUUGUCUCACCAUCUGGACCCAGCUCGUUCUCUCCUCAGGAGCAGCCCUUCCCUUGCUCUUGCCUGGCACAAAGAGGGUUUUAUAGAGAGUGAGCAGCCUUGUGGUGUCCUGAGCAGGCAGUGUCCCCACCAGACAGAUGCAGCCCUGAGAAACCUGUGUGAUGGAAAGAAGGAGAGAAGGAGGAGAAAACAAGAAAAUCAGUAUUGAAUGUUGAUUAUGCUGGUCUAAUUUAAUUUCUCUCGUGCAUUCAUGGGCAAGACACGUGGAAUGCACAUCUCUGAAGACCAGUAACUUCUAAAUAGCUGUUGUGGCAAUAUCUGUAUGCUGCUGGCAAGAGAAAAAUGAGAGGAAAAAACAGCUUAUGGGAAUGUUUGUGUUUUUAGUACAUGAAAAUAUAAAAUCUUGAACAAGUGCUCAGAAAGCCCUAGAACAAGGGGAAUUUUGAACAUUUGCAACUUGUUUGAACAACAUUAAUCCACAAAUAAAUAAAUAAACACAUAAGCAUUUACAAGUGUAUGUCCUCAAGUCUUCACUAUUCAAAGGAAUAGAAGACUGAAGUGCCUCAAAAAGAAGAAAACCUGUAUUAUACAAAUAUCAAGGGAUUUCCAGAAGAAUAUAGAGCAGAGUCAACUACGAAACGCCUCUAUAGUGUGAACUGGAAGUCUACAGGUUUAUUAGUUCAAGUUCAGCACUGCUGAUCCCCAUAGGCUUUGUUGAACACCUUUGCACAUCACUUCAUGAGCUUCAUAUUUCUGGAGAUCUUGUUCAGGCAAGGCAUACUACCUGAGAGUUAGCUGUGCAGACCCUGAGUGAAGCCCAUCUCAGUUUUGAUCGAAUGCGGCACAGCAGCUUGUGAGAGAAACGACCUGUCCUGAAAACAGCAUUGCACUGCUUUUCUUCUGUGGCAUUGCACAUUGUAGUAGUAGACUUACUUCCACUCAGAUGGGGCUACAUGUAGCCAGCUCAGUGUCUAUGUCUCACCUGGUGUUUGUUUUUUUGUUUGUUUGUUUUUAACUCCACUCAAUAACAUUUUUGAAGUUCUAUAGGUCAGCAUAAAACACUGUUUUUUUCUUUGGUGUUUGCAUUUUAUUCAGCUGCACACCACCUCUAUUAGCAGUGAAGUACUUCAUAUCAUAACAGUUCCACCACUGUUCAUGGGUGAGAUAUUUAUUUUAUAUGCUUUUCUUCUCAGCAGAUGCAAUAUGGAAAUAGUAAUGAAUUUGUUUUUGUGCAGUACAGACAAUCACCACAAUGAAUUUAUAGCUGUGCAGGUGCAUGGAAAAUGUUGUUCACAUGAGCACCAACGGUGCAGUCAGGGGAAAUCUCAAGUUUAUCAAGAGUGACUCCACAGAGUGUGGGAGAGUUUGUGGCUUUGAAUCAAAGGAGGGGCUAGUAAGGCUGAUCUUGUGGUGGGAGUUUGUUACAAACCACCCAUUAAGGUGAGGAAUUGGGUGAAAUCUUCUAUAAACAAAAAAAGAAAAUCUCCAAAUCACACAUCUUUAUGCUGUGAUUGGCAAAACUACUGAGCACAUAAUGUGUUUAGUUUUCAGUCCCUCACUUCAAGGAUAUUGGUUUUCACAAGCAUGUGCAAGGAAGAGCAAUGAAGUUGGUGAAGGGAAUGGAAGAUUUAUGAGGAGCAAUUAAGGGAACUAAGAUUGUUUAGUCUGGAGAAAAAGAGGAUGAGGGGAGACCUCAUUGCUUUCUACAACUAAAAGUUGUCUCUUUUAUCAUAUGACUAGUGAUAUGACACAAAGGAAUGAGCUAAAGUUGUGGCAGGGGAAGUUUAGGCUGAAAAUUAGGAAGAAUUUCUUCACAGAGAGUGUGGAGAACCAUUGGAAUGGGCUGCCCAGGGAAAUGGUGUAGUCCUCAUCCUUGCAUAUAUUUAAGAAACACAGAUAUGACAUCUAUUUGGUAGCAAGGAGGAACUUGCUUGGUUGGGGUUACAAAAAUCUUUGGUAGCCUUUAGUCACGCUGAAAUAGUGGAUUUCCAAAUAUUAAAUGGGGUGAGAAAGAAGAAAAAGUGCAGAGCAAUCAGAGUUCAGGAGAAAGAAUUUGACCUAAAUAAACCCAUGGGAUGCAUUGUGGUUUAUCUAAACUGACCAAUUUUCUUUCAAGUCUGCUCUCUCUAAAAAGAGACCAUUUUCAAAAGGUUAUAGAGAUUAUAUUCCUAGCAAUAGGAAAAAGGCAGAUGUUGCACUCAUCUUCAGAAAAGGAUGAAAAGACGAUCUGGAGAACUAAACUACAGGCUGGUCAGAGAAAAUCAUGGGGUGAGUAUUCCAGGAGCAUAUUUCUAAGCAGGUGAAGUGAGAGAUGAGCAUGUGAACAAGGAGAGUCAGCAUGGAUUUUCCAAGAGUAAACCAUGCCUAUGUGACCUGAUUGCUUUCUCUGAAAAAAGGACUGAUUUGUGAAUGAUGGGAUAAGAGCAGUACAUACCAUUCACCUCAAAUUUAACAAGGUCUUUGAAACUGUCUUGCACAAUUUUUGUGUUGUGUAAUAGUCUCAAUGAGUGAAUUACUAGAUGGGCAAAAAGCUCAUCAGUCAGGCUCAGAUUGUAGUUCUUAGUGAAUUGCACUCAACCUGGAGGCUGGCAACAAGUGGAUUACCACUGUUGUCUUCGCUGAGAUCUGUUCCGUUCUGUAUCUUCAUCAGCAUCCUGGAGAGCUUGAUGGAGUAAACUUUUACUGAGCUGAGAUAACCUCAAGGGCAGAGCUGCCAUUCUGGUGAACACAGAAGGAAGUAAUAAGUUGACAGGAACCUUAUGAAAGUCAAAAAGAAUGAAUGUGAAGUCUUGAAGAGAGGAAAGAACCUCUUGCAGUGCUUCAGGGAACAAAACCAAGCACAUAUUGCAAGCAAAAACACUGAGCAUACACUGGAUUUCUUUGCCAUUCCAGAAAUCCCUAUCUUAGCUUACAGGAAGAUCUAAAGGAGGAGGAUGCUUGGAUAGCAUAAUACAGAAUGUUCUUGCUUCCCCAUCUACACCCUCUCUUUAGCUUCCUUUCCUGGCCAAAAGCAAGUUGAUUAUUGCUCUCAUGUUGACUGCAAGAGGCAUGGUAGAAAGAAAUGGUGUUUCUAUUUCUGUUCUGUGUGAUUUACUAUGUUUAUUUCUGUUGUAUAUCAUUGCUGUGCAAAGGCAAAGCAGACACACACUUGUGGUCAGCAGAAGUUUUAAUGGUUAUUUGGGUUAUACUUAUUUGGGUUCAGAGGCCAUGGAGGAAGUGUUACCUCUGUGCUGACACAUUACUAGACUAUCCAUUUAGGACAAAGAUUGAUCUCAGUUCCUUUGUAUUGUGGGAAUUGCUCUAUU